GAUGAACGCUGGCGGCGUGCUUAACACAUGCAAGUCGAACGAAGCGCUUUAUUACGAUUCCUUCGGAAUGACGAUUUAGUGACUGAGUGGCGGACGGGUGAGUAACGCGUGGGUAACCUGCCUCAUACAGGGGGAUAACAGUUGGAAACGACUGCUAAUACCGCAUAAUGUCAUUUGGGGGCAUCCCUGAAUGACCAAAGAUUUAUUGCUGAAAGAUGGUCUCGCGUCUGAUUAGCUAGAUGGCGGGGUAACGGCCCACCAUGGCGACGAUCAGUAGCCGGUCUGAGAGGAUGAACGGCCACAUUGGGACUGAGAUACGGCCCAG
RNAcentral lists this ribosomal RNA (325 nucleotides) under uncultured bacterium. Its description in RNAcentral is "bacterial SSU rRNA". It matches the Rfam family "Bacterial small subunit ribosomal RNA", at positions 28 to 334 of the family's 1533-position model. The record is from RNAcentral.